Molecule: ribosomal RNA, 412 nt
Filed under: uncultured bacterium
Lineage: Bacteria
Description: bacterial SSU rRNA
Rfam family: Bacterial small subunit ribosomal RNA
Source: RNAcentral
AUUGAACGCUGGCGGCAUGCUUUACACAUGCAAGUCGAGCGGCAGCGCGGGGGCAACCCUGGCGGCGAGCGGCGAACGGGUGAGGAACACAUCGGAACGUGCCCCGGAGUGGGGGAUAACGCCGCGAAAGCGGCGCUAAUACCGCAUAUGCUCUGAGGAGGAAGGCGGGGGACCGCAAGGCCUCGCGCUCUGGGAGCGGCCGAUGUCCGAUUAGCUAGUUGGUGGGGUAAGUGGCUUACCAAGGCGACGAUCGGUAGCUGGUCUGAGAGGAUGAUCAGCCACACUGGGACUGGGACACGGCCCAGACUCCUACGGGAGGCAGCAGUGGGGAAUUUUUGGACAAUGGGGGCGAACCCUGAUCCAGCCAUUCCGCGUGAGUGAAGAAGGCCUCGGUUGUAAGUACGUACUUCUA